UUUCACAUGAAAAGACUGGGACUAGGUAAUUUGGGGGCGGGACGGAGGAAGGACACAAGCUUCCUCCGCCCCGCCCCCAAAUCACCUAGUCCCAGUCUUUUCAUGUGAAA
Non-coding RNA from Paramuricea clavata, 110 nucleotides. Lineage: Eukaryota; Metazoa; Cnidaria; Anthozoa; Malacalcyonacea; Plexauridae. The record is from the annotation of a GenBank genome assembly.